This 45-nucleotide non-coding RNA is filed under the name Trichobilharzia regenti. Lineage: Eukaryota; Metazoa; Platyhelminthes; Trematoda; Strigeidida; Schistosomatidae. The record is from RNAcentral.
AUCCAAAAGAUAAGUCCCAAAUAGGACGAAAUGCGCAUCCUGGAU